Molecule: transfer-messenger RNA, 363 nt
Filed under: Salmonella enterica
Lineage: Bacteria; Pseudomonadati; Pseudomonadota; Gammaproteobacteria; Enterobacterales; Enterobacteriaceae
Rfam family: transfer-messenger RNA
About the family: Bacterial tmRNA, also known as 10Sa RNA or SsrA, is named for its dual tRNA and mRNA-like properties.
Source: RNAcentral
GGGGCUGAUUCUGGAUUCGACGGGAUUUGCGAAACCCAAGGUGCAUGCCGAGGGGCGGUUGGCCUCGUAAAAAGCCGCAAAAAAAUAGUCGCAAACGACGAAACCUACGCUUUAGCAGCUUAAUAACCUGCUUAGAGCCCUCUCUCUCUAGCCUCCGCUCUUAGGACGGGGAUCAAGAGAGGUCAAACCCAAAAGAGAUCGCGUGGAUGCCCUGCCUGGGGUUGAAGCGUUAAAACGAAUCAGGCUAGUCUGGUAGUGGCGUGUCCGUCCGCAGGUGCCAGGCGAAUGUAAAGACUGACUAAGCAUGUAGUACCGAGGAUGUAGGAAUUUCGGACGCGGGUUCAACUCCCGCCAGCUCCACCA